GGCUGGUUCUGGGGGUGGAAAAGCUGCUUUCCAGCCUCUCUGCUGAGUGUGUCCCUACAGGAGCUGAUUCAGGUGUGGGUUUGGACUUUCAGGAAGUGUUGGAGGUGGAUGGCACCUGGGCUGUCCCGGGUGCCUCCUGGGAAGAGCUGAGCUGGGAGAAGGUUGGACUCGAUGGCCUUAGAGACCUUUUCCCACCUUUUCCGUGAUUCUGUGAGGUGACUGCUCCCGUUUCACGGCGGUUUGCGGAUCAAACCCAAGGUGAUGGAUCCUGAGUCGCUCCCGGCCCUUUGUGGCCCAACACGACAAGACCUGCCCACGGUGUCACACUGACCCCGACCCAUCCCGUGACGCUGCUGUGUCCCCAGGAGGGGCUGUCCCGGUGGGCGCAGGGGGAACACCGGCCCGGGGUGAGGAAAGGCCAUCCCGAGGAGCGCAGGGAGGUGCACGGAGCCCGGGGCAGACGGAAACGUUUAAAUAGCGGCUGAGCAUCCCGCGGCGGGGCUGGGCGGCAGCGGCGCCUGGGGAGCGCUGCGGGGCCCUGCGGAGCCGCUAAUGGGCCGAGUCCAUUUCAGCGGGAUGACGCCACUUGGGUAAAGCGUUAAGAGCUCCGGGAAGGCAGCGCAGAGCGAGGGGGAGCGCGAUGCUCCCGGGCAGCGCCAGGUCCCUCCCUCCUCCCUCCAUCCCUCCUCCUCCUCCUCCCUCCUCCCAGCCUCCCGUUCCCACCGAGCGCGGGCCCCCCCCCGCCGCUCCCGCUGCCCGCGGCGCGGGGCUCGGCUGCGGGGCCGGGGCUGCCCCGCUGCCCGCCCCGGGGCUGCCCCCGCCGCUCUCGGGCUCCGUGGGCGGAUGGACCGGCGGCGGCUGCUGCGGGAUUUUACCUGUGGCCCCUUCACCUACUUGAAAGUGGUGGCCGCCCCGUCCUGCCGAGCGUGGGCAAUGCCGGAGGGAGCCUCCUCCUGGAACGGCGUCUUCCUGCGGGCCCGGGCACCGCGACAAUAUCCGUGUCAUGGAGGGAUCACUCUUGCAAUCUGCCUUCUCUGUCCCGGGGAAGCUGGCUGUGCACAGGAAGCACAUAUCCCACAUGGAAAUCUGGGCUGGAAGUGCUGGGGGGGAAGCUUGUGGCUGGGCUCUGGCAUGCAGUGAGUGAUGUCCAUCCUCUGGGCACUCCUGGGCAGCUCCGUGUGCAGGUGGCCAGAGCGGGAGCUCCCAGGGCCAUGAGCUGUCCCAUGGCUCCCCGUGGUCCCCCUCCUCUCCUAGCCCCACCGAGGGUUCUCCCUCACAAGGUCUGGCAGAUGCAGGUUUGGAGAUGGAGCUGCUGCCAUGGGGUCAAGCUUGCCAGGAAGGUGAGUGGUGGGACAUGGAGUCGUCCCUGCCCUGACCCACAGCCCUCAGUGGUGCUGAUGUUCCUGGGCACGGCAGGCUCUGCGGCCAGCACUGCCACCUGGGAAGUGCCACAUCCUGAAAACAACGGCAAAGGGCACGUCAGGGUGGUGUGAGGGGCAUGACAGGGCUUUUCUGUGCCAAGGCUGCCUUCCCUCAUGUCUGUGCCAGCUUUGAGGGGGUUCCCUGCCCUUCAAACUGCCCUUCCCAAUGCUCCUGAUGGGGCACAUUGGCUCCUGGGCUGUGGAUGGGGUCGUGGGAUGCUGCAGUCCACCAGGAUUUGGAGUCUGCGGGACAGUCCUGUCCUUGGACAAAUGUGGGGCUCAUUAGUUGCAAUUUUAUCCCUGGGAGUGUUCAAAAAAAAAGUGGAUGCGGCACUUGAGAACAUGGUUCAGUGGUAAAUGUGGUGGUGCUGGGUUGAUGGUUGGAGUUGCUGAUCUUAAAGGGCUUUUGCAACCAUAACCAUUCCGUGAUUCUAAUUUGUCCCUGCUGCUACCUAGAGUUGACUGUGUUCAGAUUCCCCAUCCCAGUGCUCCCAGUGUGCACAGGGAAUGG
Molecule: long non-coding RNA, 1932 nt
Organism: Cyanoderma ruficeps (rufous-capped babbler)
Lineage: Eukaryota; Metazoa; Chordata; Aves; Passeriformes; Timaliidae
Source: Ensembl